This is a non-coding RNA of Trametes punicea, 97 nucleotides long. Lineage: Eukaryota; Fungi; Basidiomycota; Agaricomycetes; Polyporales; Polyporaceae. The record is from the annotation of a GenBank genome assembly.
GGGCACAUGGUGUAGUUGGUUAUCACAUCCGCUUAGCACUUGGUGGCAUCGCACCGGUGAAUGCGGGGGGUGCUGGGUUCAAUUCCCAGUGUGUCCA